Molecule: transfer RNA, 72 nt
Filed under: Rubritalea profundi
Lineage: Bacteria; Pseudomonadati; Verrucomicrobiota; Verrucomicrobiia; Verrucomicrobiales; Rubritaleaceae
Rfam family: tRNA
About the family: Transfer RNA (tRNA) molecules are approximately 80 nucleotides in length. Their secondary structure includes four short double-helical elements and three loops (D, anti-codon, and T loops).
Source: Rfam by way of RNAcentral
GCCCUGGUAGUUCAAUGGAUAGAACAAGGCUUUCCUAAAGCUUAGAUAGCAGUUCGACUCUGCUCCGGGGUA